AUUACUUGGAGGACUACGAAUGAACUACAAAUACUUGAUGAGAAGCCAUCACUUUGGGCUUCUCCGAAUGAGAGAAUUCUUAUAACUGGGCAUGUCCUUUACAAGGACGUAGAAGCUGAGACUGUCACAAGGAUAUUGGUUUCUAUUUGAGACGUGGUUUCUAAGGACACACAGAACCAUGCAAAGAAUUUAAACUACAUCCAUUUGAAACACAUUCUCCUUUGGAAGAAGUGAAAAGCAGAGUGGAGGUGAGGAAGUAGAAAGGACCUCACUCUCAAGGUUGCUGCAAGCUGGAGCUGAGCUGUCAGUAGAACGGGUCCUGGAAAUCAUUAAGCAAGGCGUCGUUGCGCUGCCCAAAGACAGACUGAAGGUAAGAAGGCUAAAGAAAUGUCCACUUGACACUGCCAUGUCCCUUGAUGUAAAUGUUAGUGUCUUAGCAGACCCUACCCAGAAUCAUGCUGCUUAUCCAGUACAUAGACUAGAAGGGCUCCUCAGAACUGUGACAAAGGUUUCUGACAGCUUUUCAAAAGAAGCAUUAAUACUUUCAUGCCACUGCAUAUCCUACAAGU
RNAcentral lists this small RNA (569 nucleotides) under Pan troglodytes (chimpanzee). Its description in RNAcentral is "retained intron". The record is from RNAcentral. Lineage: Eukaryota; Metazoa; Chordata; Mammalia; Primates; Hominidae.